This is a long non-coding RNA of Mesocricetus auratus (golden hamster), 655 nucleotides long. RefSeq lists it as uncharacterized. Lineage: Eukaryota; Metazoa; Chordata; Mammalia; Rodentia; Cricetidae. The transcript is spliced from 2 exons. The record is from RefSeq and is a predicted model, not a curated record.
CAAUGGGCGGUCCGCGCGCGCGGACCCGGAUCAGGAAACGCGCGGGGGCGUGAUGGAUGCCGCUCUCCUCCCGGGCGGGCGGGAGGAGCAAGCCGGGGCUUGGGUUCCUCGGCCCCCCCAACUUGGACUCCGGCUGAGAAGUCGGGGCCUGAGGCAGAAUUUGUACAGCAUUUUUUUUUUCAUUUACGAUUUGGAACCUUCCUAUAUUGCAGUUGACAGAGACGCUGACAAGAGCUAAACAUGUCUCCAUUACUGGGCGCUAUUGUGAGACCUCCACCCUAGAAUGGGAAUGGAGAGGCGAUGCCUGCACAAAACCCGGCUUUGAAUCCAGUAACUUCUCAUUACAGAACAAACCCCACAAGCCUGAGACAGAAUAAGACCCUUACGGGUCUGAUCGCCAACUGGUCUUCUAACCGUUUUUGUUUGUUUUGUUUUUCCCCUCCUUUUGGAUGCCCCUUCUUCAAGCUGUAUUUGGGGCAAGGGCUAUAUUUACAGGACAGUCUGUAAUUUCUGAAUUGCUGAAAAUUAACAUAUUAACAAUAUCAGUAGCUCCGGAAAGGAAAGAGAGGGGACUGUUGUCUGCCAUUUGGUAAUUGAAAUUUGGUGGGUAAACUAAUUAUGUCAUUAUUAACAAAUAAAUUACAUAUUAAUUCCA